UCCACUACUCACUUGGUAGAGUGCAAAGCUCUUAACCUUAUGGACGUGGGUUCAAGCCCCAUGGUGGAG
This 69-nucleotide transfer RNA is filed under the name Triticum aestivum (bread wheat). It matches the Rfam family "tRNA". Rfam says of the family: Transfer RNA (tRNA) molecules are approximately 80 nucleotides in length. Their secondary structure includes four short double-helical elements and three loops (D, anti-codon, and T loops). Further hydrogen bonds mediate the characteristic L-shaped molecular structure. tRNAs have two regions of fundamental functional importance: the anti-codon, which is responsible for specific mRNA codon recognition, and the 3' end, to which the tRNAs corresponding amino acid is attached (by aminoacyl-tRNA synthetases). tRNAs cope with the degeneracy of the genetic code in two manners: having more than one tRNA (with a specific anti-codon) for a particular amino acid; and 'wobble' base-pairing, i.e. permitting non-standard base-pairing at the 3rd anti-codon position. The record is from Rfam by way of RNAcentral. RNAcentral also lists the same sequence under 1 other name. Lineage: Eukaryota; Viridiplantae; Streptophyta; Magnoliopsida; Poales; Poaceae.